CUGGAAGACGGUCCGAAAGGAUCGUGCCGCUUGCGGCCGGCGUACAGGUGCUGCAUGGCUGUCGUCAGCUCGUGCUGUGAAGUGUUGGGUUAAGUCCCGCAACGAGCGCAACCCCUGCUGUCUGUUGCCACCACGAGAGGUGGGGACUCAGGCGGAACUGCCGGUGACAAACCGGAGGAAGGUGGGGACGACGUCAAAUCAGCACGGCCCUUACGUCCAGGGCUACACACGUGCUACAAUGGCCGAUACAGAGGGCAGCUACCUGGUGACAGGAUGCAAAUCUCCAAAGUCGGUCUCAGUUCGGAUCGGAGUCUGCAACCCGACUCCGUGAAGUUGGAUUCGCUAGUAAUCGCGCAUCAGCCAUGGCGCGGUGAAUACGUUCCCGGGCCUU
This 391-nucleotide ribosomal RNA is filed under the name uncultured Spirochaeta sp. RNAcentral describes it as "bacterial SSU rRNA". It matches the Rfam family "Bacterial small subunit ribosomal RNA", at positions 990 to 1382 of the family's 1533-position model. Lineage: Bacteria; Pseudomonadati; Spirochaetota; Spirochaetia; Spirochaetales; Spirochaetaceae. The record is from RNAcentral.